RNAcentral lists this ribosomal RNA (433 nucleotides) under uncultured bacterium. Its description in RNAcentral is "partial 16S ribosomal RNA". It matches the Rfam family "Bacterial small subunit ribosomal RNA", at positions 29 to 507 of the family's 1533-position model. The record is from RNAcentral.
AACGAACGCUGGCGGCAUGCCUAACACAUGCAAGUCGAACGAGACCUUCGGGUCUAGUGGCGCACGGGUGCGUAACGCGUGGGAACCUGCCCUUAGGUUCGGAAUAACUCCCCGAAAGGGGUGCUAAUACCGGAUAAUGUCUUCGGACCAAAGAUUUAUCGCCUUUGGAUGGACCCGCGUUGGAGUAGCUAGUUGGUAGGGUAAAAGCCUCCCAAGGCGACGCUCCAUAGCUGGUUUCAGAGGAUGAUCAGCCACACUGGGACUGGGACACGGCCCCGACUCCUACGCGAGGCAGCAGUGGGGAAUAUUGCACAGUGGGCGAACGCCUGAUCCACCAAUGCCGCGUGAGUGAUGAAGGCCUUAGGGUUGAAAAGCUCUUUUACCCAGGAUGAUAAUGACCGUACCGGGAGAAUAAGCUCCGGCUAACUCCGUG